RNAcentral lists this ribosomal RNA (253 nucleotides) under uncultured bacterium. RNAcentral describes it as "partial 16S ribosomal RNA". It matches the Rfam family "Bacterial small subunit ribosomal RNA", at positions 524 to 776 of the family's 1533-position model. The record is from RNAcentral.
UACGUAGGGUGCGAGCGUUAAUCGGAAUUACUGGGCGUAAAGCGUGCGCAGGCGGUCCGCUAAGACCGAUGUGAAAUCCCCGGGCUUAACCUGGGAACUGCAUUGGUGACUGGCGGGCUGGAGUAUGGCAGAGGGGGGUAGAAUUCCCCGUGUAGCAGUGAAAUGCGUAGAGAUGUGGAGGAAUACCGAUGGCGAAGGCAGCCCCCUGGGCGAAUACUGACGCUCAUGCACGAAAGCGUGGGGAGCAAACAGG